RNAcentral lists this ribosomal RNA (792 nucleotides) under uncultured bacterium. RNAcentral describes it as "bacterial SSU rRNA". It matches the Rfam family "Bacterial small subunit ribosomal RNA", at positions 8 to 796 of the family's 1533-position model. The record is from RNAcentral.
AGAGUUUGAUCAUGGCUCAGAUUGAACGCUGGCGGAAUGCUUUACACAUGCAAGUCGAGCGGCAGCGCGGGGCAACCUGGCGGCGAGCGGCGAACGGGUGAGUAAUGCAUCGGAACGUGUCCAUGUCGUGGGGGAUAGCCCGGCGAAAGCCGGAUUAAUACCGCAUACGCUCUAUGGAGGAAAGCCGGGGACCGCAAGGCCUGGCACUGAUGGAUGAGCCCAAGUCGGAUUAGCUAGUUGGCGGGGUAACGGCCCACCAAGGCGACGAUCCGUAGCUGGUCUGAGAGGACGAUCAGCCACACCGGAACUGAGACACGGUCCGGACUCCUACGGGAGGCAGCAGUGGGGAAUAUUGGACAAUGGGGGAAACCCUGAUCCAGCGACGCCGCGUGGGUGAAGAAGGCCUGCGGGUUGUAAAGCCCUUUCGGUAGGGACGAAAGCUUCCGACCUAACACGUCGGGAGGUUGACUUAACCUACAAAAGAAGCACCGGCUAACUCUGUGCCAGCAGCCGCGGUAAUACAGAGGGUGCGAGCGUUAAUCGGAAUUACUGGGCGUAAAGCGCACGUAGGCGGCUUGGUAUGUCGGGUGUGAAAUCCCCGGGCUCAACCUGGGAACUGCAUCCGAAACUGCCUUGCUAGAGUAUGGGAGAGGGAAGUGGAAUUUCCGGUGUAGCGGUGAAAUGCGUAGAUAUCGGAAGGAACAUCAGUGGCGAAGGCGACUUCCUGGACCAAUACUGACGCUCAGGUGCGAAAGCGUGGGGAGCAAACAGGAUUAGAUACCCUAGUAGUCC